RNAcentral lists this long non-coding RNA (213 nucleotides) under Coturnix japonica (Japanese quail). RNAcentral's name for it is "lncRNA (ENSCJPG00005004377.1)". The record is from RNAcentral. Lineage: Eukaryota; Metazoa; Chordata; Aves; Galliformes; Phasianidae.
GGAGUAUAAAUGAGAUCCAUUGGUAACAGGUGUGCUUGUUUUUUGGUUUAGAGACAAAGAGGAGCAUUGAUUGGGCACAUGGAUAAUGGGCCUAAAUGGAGGGUGGAGGAUAUAUUUUGUCGUGGACAAGACUGUCUGGAGAAUACAGCCACUUAAUGGAAAAAGUAACAACGUAUUUCUACCUUCUAACGUGAUACACUCAGCACAUUCCAG